GAUGAACGCUGGCGGCGUGCUUAACACAUGCAAGUCGAACGGAAAGGCCCUGCUUGCAGGGUACUCGAGUGGCGAACGGGUGAGUAACACGUGGGUGAUUUGCCCUGCACUUCGGGUUAAGUCUGGGAAACUGGGCCUAUUACCGGAUAGGAGCCAUUUUUAGUGUGAUGGUUGGAAAGUUUUUUCGGUGUAGGAUGAGCUUGCGGCCUAUCAGCUUGUUGGUGGGGUAAUGGCCUACCAAGGCGGCGACGGGUAGCCGGCCUGAGAGGGUGGACGGCCACACUGAGACUGAGGGGCGGCACAAGCUGCGACGGGAGGCAGCUGGGGGGAAUAUUGCACAAGGGGCGCAGGGCUGGUGAAGAAGGGCCGCGUGGGGGAUAACGGCCUUCGGGUUGUAGACUCGUUUCGCGAGGAACGAAGCUUUUUGUGACGGUACCUAGAUAAGAAGCACCGGCUAACUACGUG
RNAcentral lists this ribosomal RNA (465 nucleotides) under uncultured bacterium. Its description in RNAcentral is "partial 16S ribosomal RNA". It matches the Rfam family "Bacterial small subunit ribosomal RNA", at positions 28 to 507 of the family's 1533-position model. The record is from RNAcentral.